This 377-nucleotide unclassified non-coding RNA is filed under the name soil metagenome. Its description in RNAcentral is "partial contains 5.8S ribosomal RNA, internal transcribed spacer 2, and large subunit ribosomal RNA". The stretch from base 1 to 120 matches the Rfam family "5.8S ribosomal RNA", at positions 35 to 154 of the family's 154-position model. The record is from RNAcentral.
GAUGAAGAACGCAGCGAAAUGCGAUAAGUAAUGUGAAUUGCAGAAUUCAGUGAAUCAUCGAAUCUUUGAACGCACCUUGCACCCUUUGGCAUUCCGAAGGGUAUGCUCGUUUGAGUGUCAUUGUACUCUCACACUUCCGAUCUUUGGAUUGGGAGCGGUGGACUUGGGUGUUGCUGCUUACUGUGGCUCACCUCAAAUCGAUUCGUGCACCUCUUGGUUGGACAUAGUACGGCGUGAUAAGUGUCUUCGCCGGCACCUCAGUAGAGGGUGGCUGAUCGGGAGCUAUGCUUCAAACCGUCCUCGGACAACAACUGACAACUUGACCUCAAAUCGAGUAGGACUACCCGCUGAACUUAAGCAUAUCAAUAAGCGGAGGA